Molecule: ribosomal RNA, 497 nt
Filed under: uncultured bacterium
Lineage: Bacteria
Description: partial 16S ribosomal RNA
Rfam family: Bacterial small subunit ribosomal RNA
Source: RNAcentral
GAUGAACGCUGGCGGCGUGCCUAAUACAUGCAAGUCGAGCGAACGGACGAGAAGCUUGCUUCUCUGAUGUUAGCGGCGGACGGGUGAGUAACACGUGGAUAACCUACCUAUAAGACUGGGAUAACUUCGGGAAACCGGAGCUAAUACCGGCUGAUAUUUUGAACCGCAUGGUUCAAAAGUGACAGACGGUCUUGCUGUCACUUAUAGAUGGAUCCGCGCUGCAUUAGCUAGUUGGUAAGGUAACGGCUUACCAAGGCAACGAUGCAUAGCCGACCUGAGAGGGUGAUCGGCCACACUGGAACUGAGACACGGUCCAGACUCCUACGGGAGGCAGCAGUAGGGAAUCUUCCGCAAUGGGCGAAAGCCUGACGGAGCAACGCCGCGUGAGUGAUGAAGGUCUUCGGAUCGUAAAACUCUGUUAUUAGGGAAGAACAUAUGUGUAAGUAACUGUGCACAUCUUGACGGUACCUAAUCAGAAAGCCACGGCUAACUACGUG